This 467-nucleotide ribosomal RNA is filed under the name uncultured bacterium. Its description in RNAcentral is "bacterial SSU rRNA". It matches the Rfam family "Bacterial small subunit ribosomal RNA", at positions 30 to 524 of the family's 1533-position model. The record is from RNAcentral.
AUUGAACGCUGGCGGCAUGCCUAACACAUGCAAGUCGAACGGCAGCACAGUAUGUAGCAAUACAUAUGGGUGGCGAGUGGCGGACGGGUGAGUAACGCGUGGGAAUCUGCCCUAUAGUGGGGGACAACCCGACGAAAGUCGGGCUAAUACCGCAUACGCCUACGGGGAAGGCUUCGCCGCUAUUGGAUGAGCCCGCGUCGGAUUAGCUAGUUGGUGAGGUAAUGGCUCACCAAGGCGACGAUCCGUAGCUGGUCUGAGAGGACGAUCAGCCACACUGGGACUGAGACACGGCCCAGACUCCUACGGGAGGCAGCAGUGGGGAAUAUUGCACAAUGGGCGAAGCCUGAUGCAGCAAUGCCGCGUGUGUGAAGAAGGCCUGCGGGUUGUAAAGCACUUUCGGUAGGGACGAUAAUGACGGUACCUACAGAAGAAGCACCGGCUAACUCCGUGCCAGCAGCCGCGGUAAU